UGGGGAAUCUUAGACAAUGGGCGAAAGCCUGAUCUAGCCAUGCCGCGUGAGUGACGAAGGCCUUAGGGUCGUAAAGCUCUUUCGCCAGGGAUGAUAAUGACAGUACCUGGUAAAGAAACCCCGGCUAACUCCGUGCCAGCAGCCGCGGUAAUACGGAGGGGGUUAGCGUUGUUCGGAAUUACUGGGCGUAAAGCGCACGUAGGCGGAUUGGAAAGUUGGGGGUGAAAUCCCGGGGCUCAACCCCGGAACUGCCUCCAAAACUAUCAGUCUAGAGUUCGAGAGAGGUGAGUGGAAUUCCAAGUGUAGAGGUGAAAUUCGUAGAUAUUUGGAGGAACACCAGUGGCGAAGGCGGCUCACUGGCUCGAUACUGACGCUGAGGUGCGAAAGUGUGGGGAGCAAACAGGAUUAGAUACCCCCGUAGUCC
RNAcentral lists this ribosomal RNA (424 nucleotides) under uncultured prokaryote. RNAcentral describes it as "bacterial SSU rRNA". It matches the Rfam family "Bacterial small subunit ribosomal RNA", at positions 355 to 796 of the family's 1533-position model. The record is from RNAcentral.